Molecule: RNA transcript, 2767 nt
Organism: Cyanistes caeruleus (blue tit)
Lineage: Eukaryota; Metazoa; Chordata; Aves; Passeriformes; Paridae
Source: RefSeq, a predicted model, not a curated record
GCACAAUGAGUUUGCUGAUUUUUUUGCAUACCUGUUUCAUGCCCAGGUAUGUUCAGACAGAAUGCACAAUGAGUUUGCUGAUUUUUUGGGGUUUAUAUAAAAAAACCACAGAGCCGGGAUGAGCAUUCAGGAGUCCUGCCUCCCACCCUGGCACCACCGUGUGCACCACUAGCCAGCCACCAUUCAGGGCUCCUGUGCUAGCUUAGCUUGUCUGGCCCAGUAAUAAUGAAAAGGAAGAAAAGAUUUUUCACUAGGAAUUUGGAGUAUUUUCUCAUUAUAACCAACCAGCAUGACCAGAAAAAAGACUCCUGAUGCAAUCCGUGGGCCUAGUUCUCACUCCCCCGCUGGCAGGGCCUGAAAGACUGCUGGGGCCACAAGCCCCACUCCUCCAGGAGAGGGGAGGGAGAAUGGGCUAAAACCAGAUCCUGUCCAUCAGGUCUUGUAUCCUGUCUUCAGCACUGCCCAGACCUUCACGGUUCAGGGAAAAGCAAACAAACAAACAAAAAAUCCCCCCUGCUUCCCCCUUCCAGCACCCGUGGCCUGUGGUGCAGUAACCAAGGAAGCGGCUCGUCCCAUUACUGGCAGCUAGCCCUUCAAGAGAUGAGGACUGGGAAAGGCCUCAAUGCGCUCGUGGUUUCUCGUGCAAUAGGAAUGUGUGCCCAGAGAGAGAGAGGUGCCCGCUGACACAGCGCAAGGGAGGAUCCAGGAUUCUGACCCUGCUAAGACCCUCAGUCUGUCAAGUAACUAUUGCAAGUUCCAGCUGCACCAAAGCUCUCUCCAUCUGUGCUGGAGUCCCCUUGCAGACUACAGUGAUCUGCACAGACCAAUUUUUUUCCUCUCUAUCUGGGACCUCGCAAUGGCCCCCUGCAACUUAACUGCUGUCCUCACCAGCCUUUUCUCCGGGCUGUGUGUUGACCUGGCAAAUGCUUCUAGCUGUAAGGAGAUGAAAAGAAGGGAGAACAAAUGGCACCUGCCUGAGUUACAAGUGACGAUCAAACUGAGGAAGGGGAAACGUCCACUUACCUUGUCACAUGUAACAUAAACUGAGUUUAUAGAGCAGGAGCUAACAUUUAAUAUAGCUCAGCUCCAGGUAUCAUCUCUCUGUCUUGGGCUUUUAAUGAUUACAGCAUUGCUCUGGUUUCCCUCUACUCGAUCUUUGGGCAUGAGAAAAGAAGAAUGUCCACUGUGAUACUUUAAAUCCAACAUGGGGAUUGCAUGAUCAAGGAGCUCACUUAGUCCCAGUGCCACAAUUCCUGUCUCACUCUGGUUUUGGUGCUGGAGAUCCACAGUAGCUAAGAGCAUCUCAGCAUAGUUUUCACAUUUGUCAGGUUUGAACAGAAUCCUUCCUCUGUCAUUUGGGCACAACAUCCUUUAAGCAAAUUAAAUUAGUGUAUAUACACUUUCUAGCUCCUCUCCUUUGUUAAAUCUUUGGUUGAUCACCCUGCCUUGAACACAAGACUUUUAGUACUUAAUUAACCUUUCCCUCAAGACACCAGAACAGUUGUGCUCUAUCCAUCUCCUUCCCAACAGAGACACAGAAAUUCCACAAGAUGGAGAACAUUUUUCUAGGCCUGCACUCAUUAAAGAAUGAUAAAAACCAUGGGACUGGAAUUCCAACCUCAAGACAAAGCACAGUUUUACCCCCAGUGGUAUUAAGGCUACUAUCUGAACAACAACUAGCUGUCCCUUUCAUCUCACAUUUGCCUGACAAAAGUGAGAUACUAAACUUUGAUCACUGCAAUGUGUCCUGCACUAAAACUGGCCAGUUUACAUUGGAGGAAAAAACCUAGAGAGAUAACAUAGUGAAAAACUCUGGUCUCUAAUCCAACAGACAGAUAAAAAAACAGAAGCAGGGGGAAGAAAUCCUACAACAUGAUACUAGGGAGAUAAUGCCAGUGAAAUGUGUCAGACUUUAUAAUUACUGUUAAUGAGGUUAAGCUAAGGGCAACUAAUCCUGUGGGAGAAUAUGGUGGCUUUGUGAUCAAGGCCUUUUCUGAAAUACAAGUCUUCUGCAAUCCUCAAUCCUAAUGCCUCUCCCCUUCUGGAACAACCACUGUCCCCCAGCACAGAAAUGUCUCCUGUUCUCACAGAGCCACCCCAGCAGUGUGCAGUUGUCUUGCCUACCCACAAAGGCAGGUUUAUCAUGGGCAAUUGCACCCCAAACAAGGAACAGGUUUGUCUCCUGCUUGCAAUAGCUCCUGACUGCACAGGCACCAGCUUGUGUGUGCACUGCACUUUGAUUUGAAAAGUGCCUUUUGACUUGUGUUUUACCGCCACUGCCAGUUAUUCCAGGACUUGAGUCAAACCACUGGGAAGACCAAAUGCAGAUGCAUCAGAUGAAGAGGUCUAGAAGAGACCUAGAGUAAAAGCCAGUUCAGUUUCCAUCUCCUCCUCUUUUUCACGUGCCCCACUCAGCACCAUAUUUAUGGUGGCUAUGCAGGACACUCCUACAGCAACUUCUGUGUAUUAAACACUGUGCAAGUCACAGUGUUUCUGCUAAUGUUGGCAAUGUAACUUUGAAACCACUCUUUUCUAGAGGCAGCAGAAAGUUGAUGGUACAAAACAACCAUGGGAAUUGCUUGUUUUGACACAAAAUUUCACUGCUUCUGAAGAAGAAAAUUAACAUCACAAACAUUCCCCCUUCCAGCAGAGAGAAGGAAAAUGGGGCAAGUGGCUGCUCCACACGAAGCUGCCCAGACCUGAAAUGGAAGUCUGUGCAAAGGUCUACAGGCCACUGGGGCACAUUUGCAAAGCCCACAACAAAUUC